GACGAACGCUGGCGGCGUGCUUAACACAUGCAAGUCGAACGAAGUGGCGAACGGGUGAGUAACGCCUAAUCAACCUGCCCUUCAGAGGGGGACAACAGUUGGAAACGACUGCUAAUACCGCAAACUGAAGGAGGGGAUUGCGUCUGAUUAGCUAGUUGGAGGGGUAACGGCCCACCAAGGCGAUGAUCAGUAGCCGGGCUGGGAGGAUGGACGGCCCAAAUGGGACUGGAGCAAGGCCCCGACUCCUACGGGGGGCAGGAAGGGGGAAACUUCCGAAAUGGAGGGAAGUCUGGAGGCGCAACGGCGCGGGGGUGGUGACAGGCUUCGGGUUGUAAAGCUCUGUUAAUCGGGACGCGGUACCGGAAGAGAAAGCCACGGCUAACUACGUGCCAGCAGCCGCGGUAAUUC
This 408-nucleotide ribosomal RNA is filed under the name uncultured bacterium. RNAcentral's name for it is "partial 16S ribosomal RNA". It matches the Rfam family "Bacterial small subunit ribosomal RNA", at positions 28 to 526 of the family's 1533-position model. The record is from RNAcentral.